UACGCUGGCGGCACGCCUAACACAUGCAAGUCGAACGAAGUAGCAAUACUUAGUGGCAGACGGGUGAGUAACAUGUAGGUAUCUACCCUUUGGCCUGGAAUAACACGAGGAAACUUGUGCUAAUACCGGAUAAGUCUUUACGGAGAAAGCUUUAUGCACCAUUGGAUGAGCCUGCACUUGAUUAGUUUGUUGGUGGGGUAAUGGCCUACCAAGACUGUGAUCAAUAGCUGAUUUGAGAGGAUGAUCAGCCACAUUGGGACUGAGACACGGCCCAAACUCCUACGGGAGGCAGCAGUGGGGAAUCUUGCACAAUGGAGGAAACUCUGAUGCAGCGAUGCCGCGUGAGUGAAGAAGGCCUUUGGGUUGUAAAGCUCUUUCGUCGGGGAAGAAAAUGACUGUACCCGAAUAAGAAGGUCCGGCUAACU
RNAcentral lists this ribosomal RNA (425 nucleotides) under uncultured bacterium. RNAcentral's name for it is "bacterial SSU rRNA". It matches the Rfam family "Bacterial small subunit ribosomal RNA", at positions 33 to 502 of the family's 1533-position model. The record is from RNAcentral.